This 236-nucleotide ribosomal RNA is filed under the name uncultured bacterium. Its description in RNAcentral is "partial 16S ribosomal RNA". It matches the Rfam family "Bacterial small subunit ribosomal RNA", at positions 15 to 233 of the family's 1533-position model. The record is from RNAcentral.
GAUAUGGCUCAGGAUGAACGCUGGCGGCGUGCUUAACACAUGCAAGUCGAACGAAGCACUUUAUUAUGAUUUCUUCGGAAUGACGAUUUAGUGACUGAGUGGCGGACGGGUGAGUAACGCGUGGGUAACCUGCCUUAUACAGGGGGAUAACAGUUAGAAAUGACUGCUAAUACCGCAUAAGCGCACAGGAUUGCAUGAUCUGGUGUGAAAAACUCCGGUGGUAUAAGAUGGACCCG